This 1190-nucleotide ribosomal RNA is filed under the name uncultured organism. Its description in RNAcentral is "bacterial SSU rRNA". It matches the Rfam family "Bacterial small subunit ribosomal RNA", at positions 75 to 1257 of the family's 1533-position model. The record is from RNAcentral.
UCACUUCGGUGAUGCUGACGACCGGCGCACGGGUGAGUAACGCGUAUGGACCCUACCUGAAACAGGGGGAUAGCUUCCGGAAACGGGGAUUAAUACCGCAUACGAUUCAUUUGUGGCCUCACAAAUGGAUAAAAGCUACGGCGGUUUCAGAUGGCCAUGCGUACCAUUAGUUAGUUGGUGAGGUAAAGGCUCACCAAGGCGAUGAUGGUUAGGGGUCCUGAGAGGGUAGUCCCCCACACUGGUACUGAGACACGGACCAGACUCCUACGGGAGGCAGCAGUGAGGAAUAUUGGUCAAUGGGCGCUAGCCUGAACCAGCCAUGCCGCGUGCAGGAAGACGGCCCUACGGGUUGUAAACUGCUUUUCUGCAGGAAGAAUAUAUAGUCUUAGGGGUAUAUUGACGGUACUGCAGGAAUAAGCAUCGGCUAACUCCGUGCCAGCAGCCGCGGUAAUACGGAGGAUGCAAGCGUUAUCCGGAUUCAUUGGGUUUAAAGGGUGCGCAGGCUGUAAGGCAAGUCAGUGGUGAAAGCCCUGGGCUUAACUCAGGGAUUGCCAUUGAAACUGUUUUACUAGAGUGUAGUAGAGGACGGCGAAAUGAGUUGUGUAGCGGUGAAAUGCAUAGAUAUAACUCAGAACACCUAUUGCGUAGGCAGCUGUCUAUACUACAACUGACGCUGAGGCACGAAAGCGUGGGGAGCGAACAGGAUUAGAUACCCUGGUAGUCCACGCUGUAAACGAUGAUCACUCGUUGUUGGCUACUUAGUAGUCAGUGACCAAGGGAAACCGAUAAGUGAUCCACCUGGGGAGUACGUCGGCAACGAUGAAACUUCAAGGAAUUGACGGGGGCCCGCACAAGCGGAGGAACCUGUGGGUUUAUUCGAUGAUACGCGAGGAACCCUUACCUGGGCUUAAAUGCUGGCUGCCUUGGCGGGAGACCUUCAUUUCCUACGGGACGGCAGCAAGGUGCUGGCUGGUUGUCGUCAGCUCGUGCCGUGAGGUGAUCGGUUAAGUUCCCAUAAACGAGCGCCCAACCCCUAUCGCUUAGUUGCCAAGNCAUGUAAUUGGUGGGGACUCUAGCGAGACUGCCCGGUGUAAACCGGAGGAAGGUGGGGAUGACGUCAAAUCAGCACGGCCCUUACGUCCAGGGCUACACACGUGUUACAAUGGCCGGUACAAAGAGCAGCCACCUGG